UACGAGGGGGGCAAAUGUUGUUCGGAAUCACUGGGCGUAAAGGGAGCGUAGGCGGGUUCUUAAGUUAGGGGGUUAAUCCCGGGGCCCAACCCCGGACCGGCACUUAAAACUGGGAAUCUUGAAUAGUGGAGAGGUCAGUGGAAUUGGGGGUGUAGCGGUGGAAUGCGUAGAGAUCCCCAAGAACACCAGUUGCGAAGGCGGCUGACUGGACACAUAUUGACGCUGAGGCUCGAAAGCAUGGGGAGCAAACAGG
This 253-nucleotide ribosomal RNA is filed under the name uncultured bacterium. Its description in RNAcentral is "partial 16S ribosomal RNA". It matches the Rfam family "Bacterial small subunit ribosomal RNA", at positions 524 to 776 of the family's 1533-position model. The record is from RNAcentral.